CACCACAAAUGGGAUUCUGCCUCCUGGUCAUGAAUUAUCCCAUCUUUGCUAAUGCUCUGAUCUGUUUGCUUGCUUAUAUAAAAUGCAGCCCAUCCACAUCCACGUUUACAAGAAGGACCAGAAAAGAUGGCGCCAGCCAAGGAGUGUUCAUUUGCAUAAUCAGAUUAGGGUGAGGCAACCAGCAUUUCCUGCAUGCUAUCUAAACAUCAUACCUGAUUGAACCGAACUGUGAGCCCUAGAAAAUCAGACACUGCCUUCUCAAGCUGUACUACAAAAUCCAGCGUAACCGCCGCCAGCGGUCUUUCCUGCUCAGAGACCCGUCUUUCUCCAUAGAGAGAGCUGUUUCUCUUUCUCUUCUCAUCUUCCUAUUAAACUUCCACUCCUAUAUCUCUCGUGUGUGUUCAUGUCCUAAAUUUUCCUGGGACGAGAUGACAAACUCUGGGUGUAUACCCCAGACAACACAGCUGCUUCAU
Molecule: long non-coding RNA, 473 nt
Filed under: Homo sapiens (human)
Lineage: Eukaryota; Metazoa; Chordata; Mammalia; Primates; Hominidae
Description: HSALNT0386534
Source: RNAcentral